UCCCUGCCUUUUCCGCCCUCCCAUCCCCCUCCCUCAGCCCGCUGCCGCUGCUCCAGAUAAGGUGAUGGCAACGGCUAACUUCGGCAAGAUCCAGAUCGGGAUUUACGUGGAGAUCAAGCGGAGUGAUGGCCGAAUACACCAAGCAAUGGUAACAUCUUUAAACGAAGCUAAUGAAAGUGUAACUGUUGAAUGGAUAGAAAAUGGAGAUACAAAGGGCAAAGAGAUUGACCUGGAGAGCAUCUUUUCACUUAACCCUGACCUUGUCCCUGAUGAAGAACUUGAACCCAGUCCAGAAACACCUCCACCUCCCACGUCCUCAAAGUAAACAAAAUUGUAAAGAAUGGACGGACUGUGGCUUCUGUUAAGAAUGACCCUCCACCAAGAGAUAAUAGAGUGGUUGGUUCUGCCUGUGCGCAGCCUAGUCAGCUUCCUGAACAGUCUUCCUCUGCACAACAGAAUGCACGUAGAAGAUCUAAUUGUGUGAAAGAAGCAGAAAAAUUGCAAGAAAAACGAGAAAAAAGGAGACCGCAACAUCAAGAACUUAGAGAAAAAAGAGCCCAGGAUGUUGAUGCUACAAAUCCAAAUUAUGAAAUUAUGUGCAUGAUCAGAGACUUUAGAGGAAGUUUGAACUAUAGAUCAUUAACAACAGCAGAUCCUAUUGAUGAACAUAGGACAUGUGUUUAUGUAAGAAAACGACCACUCAAUAAAAAAGAAACUCGAAUGAAAGAUCUUGAUGUAAUCACAAUUCCUAGUAAAGAUGUUGUGAUGGUACAUGAACCCAAACAAAAAGUAGAUUUAACAAGGUACCUAGAAAACCAAACAUUUCAUUUUGAUUAUGCCUUUGAUGACUCAGCUCCUAAUGAAAUGGUUUACAGGUUUACUGCUAGACCACUAGUGGAAACUAUAUUUGAAAGGGGAAUGGCUACAUGCUUUGCUUAUGGGCAGACUGGAAGUGGAAAAACUCAUACUACGGGUGAUGACUUUUCAGGAAAGAACCAAGAUUGCUCUAAAGGGAUUUAUGCAUUAGCAGCUCGAGAUGUCUUUUUACUGCUAAAGAAGCCAAACUAUAAGAAACUAGAACUUCAAGUAUAUGCAACCUUUUUUGAAAUUUAUAGUGGAAAGGUGUUUGACUUGCUAAAUAGGAAAACAAAAUUAAGAGUUCUAGAAGAUGGAAAACAGCAGGUUCAAGUGGUGGGAUUACAGGAACGGGAGGUCAAAUGUGUUGAGGAUGUCCUGAAACUCAAUGACCUAGGCAACAGUUGCAGAACAUCCGGUCAAACAUCAGCAAAUGCACUUUCAUCUCGGAGCCAUGCAGUGUUUCAGAUUAUUCUUAGAAGGAAAGGAGAACUAUAUGGCAAAUUUUCUCUCAUCGAUUUGGCUGGAAAUGAAAGAGAAGCUGAUACUUCUAGUACAGACAGGCAAACUAGGCUUGAAGGUACUGAAAUUAAUAAAAGCCUUUUAGCACUCAAGGAGUGCAUCAGAGCCUUAGGUAGAAAUAAACCUCAUACUCCUUUCCGAGCAAGUAAACUCACUCAGGUGUUAAGAGAUUCAUUCAUAGGUGAAAACUCUCGUACCUGCAUGAUUGCCACAAUCUCUCCAGGAAUGGCAUCCUGUGAAAAUACGCUUAAUACAUUAAGAUAUGCAAAUAGGGUCAACGAAUUGACUGUAGAUCCAACUGCUGCUGGUGAUGUUUGUCCAAUAAUGCACCAGCCCCCAAACCAGAUUGAGACACAGUGGGGUGUGGGGAGUUCCCCUCAAAGAGAUGAUCUAAAACUUCUUUGUGAACAAAAUGAAGAAGUUCCUUCACAAUUGUUUACUUUCCAUGAAGCUGUCUCACAAAUGGUAGAAAUGGAAGAACAAGUUGUAGAAGAUCACAGGGCAGUGUUCCAGGAAUCUAUUCGAUGGUUAGAAGAUGAAAAGCCUCUCCUAGAGAUGACUGAAGAAGUAGACUAUGAUGUAGAUUCAUAUGCCACACAACUUGAAGCUAUUCUUGAGCAAAAAAUAGACAUUUUAACUGAACUGCGGAAUAAAGUGAAAUCUUUUCGUGCAGCUCUACAAGAAGAGGAACAAGCCAGCAAGCAGAUCAACCCGAAGAGACCCCGUGCCCUUUAA
Molecule: RNA transcript, 2112 nt
Organism: Carlito syrichta (Philippine tarsier)
Lineage: Eukaryota; Metazoa; Chordata; Mammalia; Primates; Tarsiidae
Gene name: kinesin-like protein KIF2A pseudogene
Exons: 1
Source: RefSeq, a predicted model, not a curated record